ACCGGUUAACGGGGAGGAUGGCACACGGACUAUCAAUGAAGAAAUAAACUCCUCGGGAACUGAAAGCCUCAAAGUUCACAGAUAUCAACUGACAAAGGAAUAAUUGAUCUUGGCUCUGCUGCGGCUCCGUGUUGGGAUCCCACUCCUGCCGAGGAAGAGACAUGUCUUCUGAGACUUCAGAUGCAUCUGUUAAACAUGAAAGAACAUUUCUGACUCAGAUUUUGGGAUUUACUCUGGAAUAGAAAUGUGCUGUUUUUCAUUCCUGUCAGACAUUCUUCGUUUUCUAAUGUGUUCUUCUUUUGUCUUAAAACAUGGUUUGAAUGAAUGAAUUUAAGGUUAUAAAGGUAUUUAUUUUAUAAAGGAUAUGAGGCUGCUGCCUCUAUGCCACGUUUUAACCUCUUGUUGAUAUUUUUAUAUGUUUAUUGACAUAGUGUGGGUUUCAUUUUAAGGAUGGUCUUUAUCCUUGGAUAAUAACUUUCUUCUUUUUUUACAGAGAGAACUUAAAUAAAUAAUUAAAUAAAUAUAGUGGUAUAGCAGAAUAUAUAGCCUGAAAUAUACCUGAUUGCAUUACUCAUUAUAAUUAGAGUUAGGAACAAAAUGCUUAAAUACAGACCCAAACACAAUACAGGCUAUGGACAAAACUGUGUGAAACUGCCCUGAAGAUUUAAGAUUUCAUAGUGUAAGAAUGAAAAAAUAAAAUAUGUGCUUUUUCUUAGCCAACCCUCAGAGGGAUUUUCUGUCACUAGUGAUGGAUUAAAUUCCCUCAAUAAAAACGUACACACUGUA
Long non-coding RNA from Dicentrarchus labrax (European seabass), 786 nucleotides. RefSeq lists it as uncharacterized. The transcript is spliced from 2 exons. The record is from RefSeq and is a predicted model, not a curated record. NCBI's taxonomy places the organism in Eukaryota, Metazoa, Chordata, Actinopteri, Moronidae.